This 1087-nucleotide long non-coding RNA is filed under the name Bos taurus (domestic cattle). RNAcentral's name for it is "long non-coding RNA NONBTAT023114". The record is from RNAcentral. Lineage: Eukaryota; Metazoa; Chordata; Mammalia; Artiodactyla; Bovidae.
CUCACAAAUAUUGAUUUAACACUCAGUAUUUUUGAACCUCAAAGAAUCUCUUCUCUGAAUAACCACGAAAACUCACAGAUAAUGAUUAGUUGGUAAAAUGUAUCUAUUAAUAAAAAAUAUAAUCCCGCCUUACCAAACUCUAAAUAAAAAAAUCUUUUAAAUAGGAAGUAGAAAUGAAACAAAGAAUUUUGAGUACUGAAAAGAGACUGGUUUUUAAACACAGACUGUGAAAAAAAUAGGAAGAUAACUUAGUGAGUCUUCCACAUGCCAUAUUAGUGGCCUCAUAAUUAUUCAGACCACAGUUUGUAUUAAAGAGGUCUUGCCUUCUAAGGCUAGGAUUCAGUCUCACAUAGCUUUCCUAUUUCCAGGAAAUCUUUAUAUUUUUACAUAAUGACAUUCACAAUUGCUAAUCAUUCACUAGACAUUAUUUUUAAUAAUGAAGAACAAAUGUUUUUUCUCCUUGACCUCAUAGGAGAUCAUCACACUCAUAAUCUUUCUGAAUAUUCAGAUUGUAGAGGAAAUGCAGUUCACUAAAAUCAUGGUACUAAGAAUUCCUCUUUACCAAAUUAUGUUAAAAUACUGAACUUCUGAUCAGAAGACAUUUUGUUUUAAAAAUAACUUGUUUUGAUACUAACAGUACAACUAAUAAGUAAAACUACCCUUUUCUAUAUAUCACAAUCAAUAGCCACAUUUCAUUCCCAGCUACCAAAAGUCUUGGGCCACUUUUGAAUGCUUAAAGCAUGUCAUUUAUCCUUCUAAUCAAAAUGGUGCUGAAUUAUUUCAACUUGAAUGUAAAAUGUGUUGUCUUAGCUCACAGGAUAUAAACAUUUAAUAUAUAACUGCUUGCUAUGAACUACGUAACAUGUGAUUUGGUAUUGUAAUGUUUUUAAUGACGUUUUAGUUUCUUCCAAAUUUUUCAGGAAUACUAGUUGUAAAACAUUUUUAACUUUUUUUUUGAAGAGCUCUUAUUUUAAAUGCCCAGACACUGGCUUUAUAAUCUUCUUUACACUCGCACAUUCUUUUAUUAUAUGCCUAUACUAUGAUUGCAAGAUUAUGUAAAAAUGCCUUGAAUAAAUGAUUUCAAGUG